This 567-nucleotide ribosomal RNA is filed under the name uncultured bacterium. RNAcentral's name for it is "bacterial SSU rRNA". It matches the Rfam family "Bacterial small subunit ribosomal RNA", at positions 91 to 655 of the family's 1533-position model. The record is from RNAcentral.
GAAAGUGGCGAACGGGUGCGUAACGCGUAGGCAACCUGCCCUUGAGCGGGGAAUAACCAUCGGAAACGAUGGCUAAUACCGCAUGAUGUCUUGUUCUCGCAUGGGAACGAGAUCAAAGUCUUCGGACACUCAGGGAUGGGCCUGCGUCGGAUUAGUUAGUUGGUGAGGUAACGGCUCACCAAGGCUACGAUCCGUAGCUGGUCUGAGAGGAUGAUCAGCCACACUGGCACUGAGACACGGGCCAGACUCCUACGGGAGGCGGCAGUGAGGAAUAUUGCGCAAUGGGCGAAAGCCUGACGCAGCCACGCCGCGUGGAGGAAGACACCCCUAUGGGGCGUAAACUCCUUUUAUGCGAGAAGAAAUCUCCGACAUGUCGGAGCCUGACGGUAUCGUAUGAAUAAGCACCGGCUAACUCCGUGCCAGCAGCCGCGGUAAUACGGAGGGUGCAAGCGUUGUCCGGAAUCACUGGGUGUAAAGGGUGUGUAGGCGGGAUAGCAAGUCAGAGGUGAAAUCCUGCAGCUUAACUGUAGAACUGCCUCUGAUACUGUUAUUCUUGAGUAUCGGAGA